CAAAACAACACCAGAGAGCACUGUGGACAACUAACAAACGAGAGAGUAAACAAAACACAAAGGCAGAAACGCAAAAGAUUUAGUUCAUUUGUUUAAACUAGUGAACAAAUCAAAAGAUAUUUACUCGCGAAGAGAAAGGAUAUUUUAUAAUUAUAUUUUUGACAAUAUAGAAUUAUACAAGAAAUUAUUAAAAACAUCCACUGGUUUUACAAACACAAAAAUUAAUUCGGAGCGCAGAUAAAAAGCAUUAUUAUUAUGUUCAGUUUCGGUCCAUAUAUGAGGUGCUCCGAAAACCGCUUUUGUUAAUUCAGUAAUCUGACCAUCAACUGGACCCCGGACUGGUUUCCAAACUGGCCCUAGCGCUUCACUUUUCCUUUCGCAAGGGAGUGAAGGUCAGAUAAUUACGACUGAAGCGGUUUCUAGCUGGGAGAGUUGUAUAAUAUCAUCGACAAACUCAAAACUGGUUUUAAUGUGGACCACUUACAGGGAAGCUAAUGUAGUUGUUAGAAAAAGAAAUCAUUAAUUUAUUUUCCAUAUUUAUAUUAUACUAUUGACUGUUCAAAAAGCGGCGACAGAUACAAUACGUUCUCAUUCCGGACAGGUUUGCAUUUGGCGACAUUCGAAGCGGACCGGUCGAUCUAUUCGUUUGUGGGUGUACGGACUCUUGUAGCUGCUUUCAGCUGGAGGAAUUUAAUUAUUAUUUUCAACAUCCAAUCCGAUUUUCAAGAUUUAUGUAAAAUUAUUCGUAAUUUCAUUUUUAGCUUACCCAUGGUCAAUAAAAUUGUAAUAAUAUUUUUUCAUAUUGUAAAAA
Drosophila sechellia is the source of this 811-nucleotide long non-coding RNA. RefSeq lists it as uncharacterized. Lineage: Eukaryota; Metazoa; Arthropoda; Insecta; Diptera; Drosophilidae. The transcript is spliced from 2 exons. The record is from RefSeq and is a predicted model, not a curated record.